GAUGAACGCUAGCGGCAGGCUUAAUACAUGCAAGGCGAAGGGGCAGCAAUGUCACUGUCGUACGGGUGCGUAACGCGUAUGCAACCUACCUAUCACUGGGGGAUAGCCCGGGGAAACCCGGAUUAAUACCGCAUAAAACAGGGGCACCGCAUGGUGAUAUUUGUUAAAGAUUUAUCGGUGGUAGAUGGGCAUGCGUUCGA
RNAcentral lists this ribosomal RNA (200 nucleotides) under uncultured bacterium. RNAcentral's name for it is "partial 16S ribosomal RNA". It matches the Rfam family "Bacterial small subunit ribosomal RNA", at positions 28 to 240 of the family's 1533-position model. The record is from RNAcentral.